UGGGGAAUAUUGCACAAUGGGGGAAACCCUGAUGCAGCCAUGCCGCGUGUGUGAAGAAGGCCUUCGGGUUGUAAAGCACUUUCAGCGAGGAGGAAAGGGGUGAUGCUAAUACCAUCAUCCUGUGACGUUACUCGCAGAAGAAGCACCGGCUAACUCCGUGCCAGCAGCCGCGGUAAUACGGAGGGUGCAAGCGUUAAUCGGAAUUACUGGGCGUAAAGCGCACGCAGGCGGUUGGAUAAGUCAGAUGUGAAAGCCCCGGGCUCAACCUGGGAACUGCAUUUGAAACUGUUCGACUAGAGUCUUGUAGAGGGGGGUAGAAUUCCAGGUGUAGCGGUGAAAUGCGUAGAGAUCUGGAGGAAUACCGGUGGCGAAGGCGGCCCCCUGGACAAAGACUGACGCU
RNAcentral lists this ribosomal RNA (400 nucleotides) under uncultured bacterium. RNAcentral describes it as "bacterial SSU rRNA". It matches the Rfam family "Bacterial small subunit ribosomal RNA", at positions 355 to 747 of the family's 1533-position model. The record is from RNAcentral.